Molecule: long non-coding RNA, 157 nt
Organism: Aricia agestis (brown argus)
Lineage: Eukaryota; Metazoa; Arthropoda; Insecta; Lepidoptera; Lycaenidae
Exons: 3
Source: RefSeq, a predicted model, not a curated record
GCAAAAUGUAAAGUGAAAAGUUAUUAAGGCCAGGCCAGUUCGAAAAGACUGAUUUUUAAGCUUUCAGUCUGAAGAAAUUAUGUGGAAUUCUCUUAGACCAAAAUUAAUGUAGACUCAAAAGGGAACAAAAUAAAAAAAAAUACCAAACAGAAUAUUA